RNAcentral lists this ribosomal RNA (436 nucleotides) under uncultured bacterium. RNAcentral describes it as "bacterial SSU rRNA". It matches the Rfam family "Bacterial small subunit ribosomal RNA", at positions 956 to 1392 of the family's 1533-position model. The record is from RNAcentral.
UUAACGCGAAGAACUUACCUGGCCUUGACAUCCAGAGAACUUUCCAGAGAUGGAUUGGUGCCUUCGGGAACUCUGAGACAGGUGCUGCAUGGCCGUCGUCAGCUCGUGUCGUGAGAUGUUGGGUUAAGUCCCGUAACGAGCGCAACCCCUAUCCCUGGUUGCUAGCAGGUAAUGCUGAGAACUCCAGGGAGACUGCCGGUGACAAACCGGAGGAAGGUGGGGAUGACGUCAGGUCAUCAUGGCCCUUACGGCCAGGGCUACACACGUGCUACAAUGGCGCGUACAGAGGGCUGCCAACUCGCGAGAGUGAGCCAAUCCCUUAAAACGCGUCGUAGUCCGGAUCGGAGUCUGCAACUCGACUCCGUGAAGUCGGAAUCGCUAGUAAUCGCGAAUCAGAAUGUCGCGGUGAAUACGUUCCCGGGUCUUGUACACACCG